Molecule: ribosomal RNA, 496 nt
Filed under: uncultured bacterium
Lineage: Bacteria
Description: partial 16S ribosomal RNA
Rfam family: Bacterial small subunit ribosomal RNA
Source: RNAcentral
GAUGAACGCUGGCGGCGUGCCUAAUACAUGCAAGUCGAGCGAACAGACGAGGAGCUUGCUCCUCUGACGUUAGCGGCGGACGGGUGAGUAACACGUGGAUAACCUACCUAUAAGACUGGGAUAACUUCGGGAAACCGGAGCUAAUACCGGAUAAUAUAUUGAACCGCAUGGUUCAAUAGUGAAAGACGGUUUUGCUGUCACUUAUAGAUGGAUCCGCGCCGCACUAGCUAGUUGGUAAGGUAACGGCUUACCAAGGCAACGAUGCGUAGCCGACCUGAGAGGGGAAUCGGCCACCCUGAAACUAGACCACGGCCCAGACCCCCACGGGAGGCAGCAGGGGGGAAUUUGCCGCAUGGGGGAAAACCCUGACGGGGCAACGCCGGGGGGGGAAGAAGGGUUUUGGAUUGGAAAAAACCUUUUAUUGGGAAAAAAAAAAUGUAUAGAUAACUUUGCACUUUUGGAGGGAACCAAAUAAGAAAGCCCGGCCAAACUACGG